This 139-nucleotide microRNA precursor is filed under the name Mustela putorius furo (domestic ferret). RNAcentral describes it as "miRNA (ENSMPUG00000022150.1)". The stretch from base 37 to 88 matches the Rfam family "mir-1302 microRNA precursor family". The record is from RNAcentral. Lineage: Eukaryota; Metazoa; Chordata; Mammalia; Carnivora; Mustelidae.
CAGCCAGAUUUGAAUUUCAGAUAAAUAAUGUAUAUAUUUUUAGGAUAAUUAUGUCCCGUGUAAUAUUUGGUACAUACUUAUCCUAAAAACAUAUUUAUUGUUUAUCUGAAAUUCAAGUUUAAGUGAGAUCUUGUAUUUU